UACCAGCUCUCCGAGUGGUAGAGAUGUUUAUUGGGCUUAAAGCGUCCGUAGCCGGCUUAGCAAGUCUCCUGUUAAAUUCAGCGACCUAAUCGUUGAGCCGCGGGAGAUACUACUAGGCUAGGAGGCGGGAGAGGUCAACGGUACUUCCGGGGUAGGGGUGAAAUCCUAUAAUCCCGGGAGGACCACCAGUGGCGAAGGCUGUUGACUAGAACGCGCUCGACGGUGAGGGACGAAAGCUGGGGGAGCGAACCGGAUUAGAUACCCGGGUAAUCCCAGCUGUAAACGAUGCGAGCUAGGUGUUGGGGUGGCUACGUGCCACUUCAGUGCCGCAGGGAAGCCAUUAAGCUCGCCGCCUGGGGAGUACGGCCGCAAGGCUGAAACUUAAAGGAAUUGGCGGGGAGCACCACAAGGCGUGAAGCUUGCGGUUC
This 428-nucleotide ribosomal RNA is filed under the name uncultured archaeon. Its description in RNAcentral is "bacterial SSU rRNA". It matches the Rfam family "Archaeal small subunit ribosomal RNA", at positions 474 to 903 of the family's 1478-position model. The record is from RNAcentral.